This 4495-nucleotide unclassified non-coding RNA is filed under the name Portunus trituberculatus (swimming crab). RNAcentral's name for it is "uncharacterized LOC123501756, transcript variant X1". Lineage: Eukaryota; Metazoa; Arthropoda; Malacostraca; Decapoda; Portunidae. The record is from RNAcentral.
CCUCCAAACUGAGUCACAGUAGUGUUUCCUUGCUACUUGUUCUCUAGAGGAGCAUAGUCACCAGCUGAACGUCAAAGCACUCUAACCACCGCGCUGGCUUCUUUCCAUGCGUGUGCCCUUACUUCUCCCUCGCCGCGCCGUGCCCAGGAAUCACCACCACGGCACCACCGCCAAAUGAGGCUGGAGAAACUGAUCUAGGAGGGAGGCUAAGGCAGUGGCAGAGUGAUGCUAGGGAGUGGAGGAGUGUGCAGUGGGCCUGUGUCCUGGUGGUGCAGUGAGGUGCUGAAGUGCUCCCCCAAGGUGGCCCCUAACCCAGGUCCCGGCACCACCCCUGAACCAAUGGCUGAGUGUGAACAAUGCAGCCUCAAGUUUAACUUUCUUCGCCGACGGAGAGAAUGUGCAAGCUGUAGGAUGGUGUACUGUGGGUCCUGCCUGAAGCGAGGGAUAGGAGGGACGCGCUGGUGCCAUAAGUGCCUGGUGCUGACCCAGUGGCCCCUGGACCUAUCAGAAGUGACGGCUCUCAGGGUGAAGGACCUCAGACAGUUCCUGCACUCACGCCGCAUCAACACUGCCACUUGUACAGAAAAAUGUGAGCUGAUUGACCUGGUGACACGGCACAUCAGCAGUCAGCACCAGACCACGUCCUCUCGGCGUCCCCCACCAACCGCACAGCACUCCACCUCCCACGCACCCAACAGCCACGGAAGACACAGGGCCGCCCCUCGCAUACCUGUUGUUUCUGAGGAUGACGGGAUUAGGGUGCGGGCAAGCAGCAACAUUUCCAUGGGCAGCAUUCGAGUGCGCCCGAUGGAUGGCAUCAGAGUACAGGGCAGCCACCAACCCUCCACUAAUGCCACAAGUUCUGACCCAGACAGUGGCAUCAGGGUGUUUGCCUCAGGCCAGGGCAGGAACUCCCAGGACAACUCUGACAGUGCCUCCCCAACCUCCCCGAGCAGUGAUGGCGGAUGUCCUGAGAGGGAGGAGUGUUCCCACUGCCCCGGUGACGACUGGACUGCCUCCUGCUGCAGUCUGGACUCGUGUCACAAUGGAACACCUGGCCAGCCCCACCACUGCCACCACCACCAUCACCACACGGAGACUUCCAGCCCCAACAGUGAGGACUGGGUGUUCCUGCCAGAGAUGAGCACCCCAUCAGCUCCCCAGGAUGAUGGAAGGAAUGAGGGAAGGAUGAAUGUUUCCCCUACACUCCCUCCUACACCACAGGCUGUAGGAAGUAGUGGUGCACAGGAAGAGCCCUCAGCUCCACCCCUCCCACAACCUGAGCAGGAGGAGGAGCAACCAUCUUUUCCAGCCCCUGCUGUAUCCUCAUCCUCCUCUUCAGCGUCAUCGUCAGCCCCCACCUCUGCCGUGUCUUCUCCAGAGCCCAACAAAGGGGUAACCGGUGGCUCUGUGAACCUGGGGGACCUGAAAUCUGAGGAGGAGAUCCACCAGUUGAGUGUGAGGCAGUGCAAGGAGCUUCUCGCCCUGAACAGAGUGAACUACUCUGGGGUGCGGGAGAAGUCUGAGCUGCUCAACAAAAUCAAGAUCCUGUGGGAAGACUAUCGCACCUCUCGCAAAGAAUUUGAGAAAUUGCCUGAGGAGAUGAUAUGCAAGAUCUGCAUGGAUCAUGCCAUUGACUGCGUCCUGCUGGAGUGUGGGCACAUGGUGUCGUGCACCCAGUGUGGCAAGCAGAUGUCCGAGUGCCCCCUCUGCCGGCAGUAUGUGGUGAGGGUGGUGCGCACCUUCCGGGCCUGAGCUGGGAUGACACCCGUCCCAGGGUAGGAGGGUACAUGGAGGCCUUAGUCUUUUUAUAAGCAGAAUUUUAUAUGAUUUAGUAUAUUCUGUGGUGGAAAUCUGUCUUUUGUAUCUCAACGCUGGAGCACGUAAGUCUUGUGUGAGCUGAGAUGUGCAUGUUGGAUCCACACUGCUUCUUUUGGUGUUCCCAUGAGGGUGGGGAGCUGCCCUCCCCAGCCUUGUGUGUCCUUGGUGGACAUGCUAUCAUCACAGCUUACUUUUGAAAGUUUGGGGUGUACUGUAUUUGCCAACAUAUAAGACAUUUUCAAGAAAACGUUUUACAAAUUAACCAGUACCUAAUGUUACUAUAGUUAUGAUGCUGAAAUACUUACUUGGAAAAAAAGAAAAAGCCUUUGUCAGACAGAGCAUAUGUCUUAUUCAGAGAUGUGUCUUAUAAGCUUGUAGGAACAGUAGAUCCCUUACUGAUGACUUCUAUUCUUGUGCCCCAUGCUUUUCUCUUGGAAGUUUUGGCAUGAACAGUAUCAAUGGAAUAUGCUGUUGAUCAGGGAUGCUUUCCUAGUGACUGUAAUGAAGCCAGAUGAAGAGAACUAGAACCUGUGGGAUGUGAAGCUGUUGAGGCAAGCGUGACCCAGCAGUGAGGGUGAGGUGUUUGUGCCACAGCUUGUGUCUGGAGAACAGAUGAAGUGUGUGCAUUCAGCUGUCCCAAGAGGUGGUGGUGUCCAUGGCCAUGGCCAGCAAAGUCUUUCAUAUCAAUACAUGUUUGUAGAACCUUUUCAUUAUUUAGAGUGUGUAUUUGUUUCUUAUGAGGCUCAUAGAUCCAUGGCAGUUUUUCUGUUAUGCUUCAUUGGUCUGUUUCUCAGUAGUAUACUUAUUUUUAUAUUUUUUCUUUGCUAGUACUUUUUUUUUUUUUUUUUUUUUCUUCUUCUUCUUCUUCUUCUUCUUCUUCUUCUUCUUCUUCUUCUUCUUCUUCUUCUUCUUCUUCUUCUUCUUCUUCUUCUUCUUCUUCUUCUUCUUCUUCUUCUUCUUCUUCUUCUUCUUCUUCUUCUUCUUCUUCUUCUUCUUCUUCUCACUGUCUUUAUAAAAGAUACAGCUGCCCAAGUCAUUAUCUUUACAAACACUUGAUUGGAAACCCUUCAGAAGCAGCAGCCCUGUAAUGACUCUCUUUGUAUUGAUUAUUUUUAUCAAAUUAUGUCAUUCCCUUGUAUUGAAAAUAACCUUAUGUAGUAUGUUAUUUCAGUACAUCAGAAUGGUAGGUUCACAAGGGCAUAGAUGCUGCAGAUCUGUAUGGUUACUCAUGUUUCUCAUCUUUGUGUGUACAUCAAGCUCAGACACAUCAUGACUUGCAGUCCUUCACAUCCUUCACUCAUGGGACACCUGUCUUGAGAGUAGCUAUCUUUGAGAGACACCUGCUGCUCUCAUCAGUAGCCAUGGCAGGGGAUUUCUCUAAUGACAGUGUUGCGUAGUGUCACAAGUGGCAGCUUAGGUGAGUGUUGCCUUGCUGAUUCAUUGCUUAUUGAUUUAGAACUUUUCCAUUUGUCAUUUUCAUGUUUUAGUCUGACACAAAAAAAAAACUAGUCAAGUAAUGUCAAAAUACUUCUUUUUUGUGUGUUUUGCUAUUCUUGUUCAUAUUUUUGUCAAUAGUGAUAAUUAUUUUGUUUCAUUUUUCUCUGCUAGUAACCAAAGCUUCACUAUUUUUGUUACUCAGAAACAUAUUACCUUGCAUUUAGUGUAUGGGGAUGAACUCUUAAUUUUGUGAGAAAUUUGCUCCUGUCUUUUUUCUAAGGAGUGAGGAUGCCAUUAGUGUUAGUCAGCAGUGGCUGUUGAAUGGUGUCCUCUGUGUAGACGUCUCCUUGGAUCAUGUUCUUUUAUCCAUCCAUGUUGUAUCAGUAUUAGGCACAUGCACAGAAGGGGACCACAUCCUCCACUGAGGUGCGAGUGGUGGCUGGUUGCCAUUGUGCUGCUGUUGUCCGCCAGAUACUUGUCCUUUGAUGCCAGUCCUUCAGGGUUGUUUCCUUCUACACAGUGACUCCAGAUCCUGUUGUUUUUACACUUGUAUGUAUAAUGAAUGUUACCUGAAGAAUGAUAUGAAUACCUCUAUGUUAAUUAUCAAGCCUAUACAAGUAAUGAAAGAUAGUCUGGAAGGCAUUACCACUUCAGGGGCAUGGCAUUGAGUCUGUGAAGUCUGACAGCACAGUUUCGUGGUGGAUGUUGUUGAUUUACCUUAAUUAGACUUAAAAGCAGAUAUACAGAAUACAGUGCCUAUUUGUGUGUAUAAUUUGAGUACUAAACCAUUGGGGGGCACAAUGUUAAAUAUCUAAGCUUUUAGAAAAUACACUAUGUAAUCCUGUAGUCCAGAAUUCUUAGAUUUUAUUUUUGUGGAACUUAUUGAUUUGAUUUAAGGUGUAACUACAAUUUGGAGUUGUAAUAUAAAGAAGUAUUACUUUGUCCAUAAUGUGUUAUCUUCUGCAGGGUGAAGAGCCUCUGUUUUUCUCAAGUUGUAAACCAUCAGAAUGGGAGCAGGCUAGGAUGAGAAACCAAGCUCUGUGUAUGGAUUUUAUUUUUAUUUAAUUCAGAUGUCAUACCAGUCUUGUUUUGAUGGUGUCAAGAGACUAAGAGAAAUCAAGUGUACCAGAUAUUUUAGGUGUAUUUUAGCCCUCCACUGUGUGUGUGUGUGUGUGUGUGUGUGUGUGUGUGUGUGUGUGUGUGUGUGUGUGUGUGUGUGUGUGUGUGUGUGUGUGUG